This 1254-nucleotide ribosomal RNA is filed under the name Ectomocoris patricius. Its description in RNAcentral is "partial large subunit ribosomal RNA". The stretch from base 820 to 1185 matches the Rfam family "Bacterial large subunit ribosomal RNA", at positions 2073 to 2647 of the family's 2925-position model. The record is from RNAcentral. Lineage: Eukaryota; Metazoa; Arthropoda; Insecta; Hemiptera; Reduviidae.
UUAUAUUUGUUUACUUUGAUUUUAGUUGAUUAGUUUUUUUUAGAAAUAACUUUAUUUUUAGUAAUUUUUAUUGAAUUAAUUGUUUUGUGGUAGUAUGGGUACCGUAAGGGGGCAUGAUUAAUUAAAUUUUAAGAAGUCUUUGUUUGGUGUACCUUUUGUAUCAGGGGUGAUUAAAUAUUUUUAUUUAUUUAUUUUUCUCGAAAUUAGGGGAGAUAUUGUUAUAUUUUAUUUAAUGUUUCAUAAUUAUUAAUUAUAUAAUGAUUGUAAUGAUAAGUUAUUCGUUCUUGAAUAUCUAGUUCUCUGGGAAUUGAAUUUAAUUCAUUAUUACUAACUUUCAUUUUCUGAUUUUAAUUGGGUUAUGUUUAGUAAUUAAAUAUUUUUGGGGAUAAGCUCGGAUUUAUUUUUAUAAUUUUUAGAUUUUGUAAGUUUGAGUGGGCUUAAAGUCAGCCAUCAUUAAUUUCGUUAUUGAUUAUUCUAAGUUUAUUAUUAUUUUGUGUUAUUUAAUUUUAUAGCAGGGUUAAUUUUUUAAUUAAGUUUUAUUUGGAAUGAUGAUUAUAUUAGUAUAUUUGGUAAUCGUGUUAUAGGAACUCGGCAAAUAUUGCGUUCGCCUGUUUAACAAAAACAUGUCCUUUUGGUGUUAUUAUUUUAGGUUUAACCUGCCCAAUGAUUUAUUUAAUGGCCGCGGUAUUUUAACUGUGCUAAGGUAGCAUAAUCAUUUGUCUUUUAAUUAAGGGCUUGUAUGAAGGGUUGGACGAGAUGCAUUCUUUCUUUAUUCACGUUAUUUGAAUUUUUCUUUUUAGUUAAAAGGCUAAGAUUUUUUUGUAGGACGAGAAGACCCUGUAGAUCUUUAUAUUUAUUAAUUUUCUGAUUAUUUGGGAAAUAAUAAAUUGGAUUUUUUUAUUUAUUUGAUUGGGGUGAUUGCAGAGAAUUAGAAACUUCUGUUUUAUAAAAUUCAUGAAUUAGUGUUUAUAUGAUCCAUUAUUAAUGAUUAUAAGAUUAAGUUACCUCAGGGAUAACAGCGUUAUUUCUUCGGAGAGUUCAUAUCGAUGAAGGAGUUUGCGACCUCGAUGUUGGAUUAAAAUAAGUGUUGGGUGUAGUGGUUCAAUUACUAGGUCUGUUCGACCUUUGAUUUUUUACAUGAUCUGAGUUCAGACCGGCGUGAGCCAGGUCAGUUUCUAUCCUCAAUUUUAAUUUUUAUAUUUUAGUACGAAAGGACCAAAUUUAAGGAAUAAUUUUUUGUAGAUGAUUAUUAUU